Molecule: long non-coding RNA, 685 nt
Organism: Cyprinus carpio (common carp)
Lineage: Eukaryota; Metazoa; Chordata; Actinopteri; Cypriniformes; Cyprinidae
Source: Ensembl
AAAAAAAAUGAUAUAUAGAAGUUAUAUUUAAUUUUUUACAUUUAUUUACUUAUAAGUCACAUUAAAGAUCCACUUGGCUUACUAAUGCAAGGGGGCCCAUGACACAGUUUGGUGGGUAGACUGUGUGAACGUAACUUCAUGUGUGCUGUUUUUUUUUUUUUUUCAUAGCAUAAAUGUAAAAGGCUUGCGUUUCUGAGUGAUUGAUUAGAUGAGUGAGUAAUGUGUGUGUGAGUGUGUGUUUACCAGUUAACACAGCAGGGAGUGGACAGAAGGGCCAAGUGUGACAGGUGGACAGGCGUGAUAAGGAGAGAGCGGUGCAGACCAGCGCUCAGCAGAAGCAGAGCCCAGGAGAAUAUCCAGCCAAAAGCAGCUAAUAGCUGAUACUCAUCAGAGAUAGAGCCGCUGAAGAUUUCUUGUCUCUGUGGAAUAGUCGUUCAUUUCGCUUCAGCCCAAAUUCUCCUCCCUAAAAAUGUACUGUAUUUUGUACAGUCGUGAAAAGAUGUUGUUAAUCAAGUUUAAUACAAAAGGACAAUCAAUGCUGGGACUGAAGGAAUAUGCCAUGAUUUUACAGAUUUCACAUCAGUGUAUCCUAGAGUUUCAGAAGAGAUCUCAGCAAUGUUGUAACUGCAACAUGGGACGAAAAGGAAAAUUCAGAGGGAGCGAGAAUAAUAAAUGCAAAUUAUGA